UGCCCGAGCUUGGCCCAAAUUUCUUUCGGGCUUCGAACCGGGCUUAGGGCCAAAGAUUUUCAAAUUUUAUAGCCCAAGCCCAGCCCGAACCCAAUCAAGCCAAACUGAAUUCAUCAUUUGGGCUAAAUAUUAGGCUGGCUCCUAUUUGUUUGGUAUGACCUACAAGCUGCCUCCACACCACGUGCCAUCUCUCCUCUACUUAGCCCACUCGAGAUAAUCUUU
Molecule: long non-coding RNA, 222 nt
Filed under: Elaeis guineensis (African oil palm)
Lineage: Eukaryota; Viridiplantae; Streptophyta; Magnoliopsida; Arecales; Arecaceae
Description: long non-coding RNA (EGUI_LNC007758)
Source: RNAcentral